Molecule: ribosomal RNA, 897 nt
Filed under: Massilia aurea
Lineage: Bacteria; Pseudomonadati; Pseudomonadota; Betaproteobacteria; Burkholderiales; Oxalobacteraceae
Description: bacterial SSU rRNA
Rfam family: Bacterial small subunit ribosomal RNA
Source: RNAcentral
AGUGGCGAACGGGUGAGUAAUAUAUCGGAACGUACCCAAGAGUGGGGGAUAACGUAGCGAAAGUUACGCUAAUACCGCAUACGAUCUAAGGAUGAAAGCAGGGGAUCUUCGGACCUUGUGCUCCUGGAGCGGCCGAUAUCUGAUUAGCUAGUUGGUGAGGUAAAGGCUCACCAAGGCCACGAUCAGUAGCUGGUCUGAGAGGACGACCAGCCACACUGGAACUGAGACACGGUCCAGACUCCUACGGGAGGCAGCAGUGGGGAAUUUUGGACAAUGGGCGAAAGCCUGAUCCAGCAAUGCCGCGUGAGUGAAGAAGGCCUUCGGGUUGUAAAGCUCUUUUGUCAGGGAAGAAACGGUUUGGGCUAAUAUCCUGAGCUAAUGACGGUACCUGAAGAAUAAGCACCGGCUAACUACGUGCCAGCAGCCGCGGUAAUACGUAGGGUGCAAGCGUUAAUCGGAAUUACUGGGCGUAAAGCGUGCGCAGGCGGUUUUGUAAGUCUGACGUGAAAUCCCCGGGCUCAACCUGGGAAUUGCGUUGGAGACUGCAAGGCUAGAAUCUGGCAGAGGGGGGUAGAAUUCCACGUGUAGCAGUGAAAUGCGUAGAGAUGUGGAGGAACACCGAUGGCGAAGGCAGCCCCCUGGGUCAAGAUUGACGCUCAUGCACGAAAGCGUGGGGAGCAAACAGGAUUAGAUACCCUGGUAGUCCACGCCCUAAACGAUGUCUACUAGUUGUCGGGUUUUAAUUAACUUGGUAACGCAGCUAACGCGUGAAGUAGACCGCCUGGGGAGUACGGUCGCAAGAUUAAAACUCAAAGGAAUUGACGGGGACCCGCACAAGCGGUGGAUGAUGUGGAUUAAUUCGAUGCAACGCGAAAAACCUUACCUACCCUUGACAUG